This 212-nucleotide long non-coding RNA is filed under the name Carica papaya (papaya). Its description in RNAcentral is "long non-coding RNA (CPAP_LNC014078)". The record is from RNAcentral. Lineage: Eukaryota; Viridiplantae; Streptophyta; Magnoliopsida; Brassicales; Caricaceae.
UUCAAAAUUUUACUUUGAUUUCUCUCCACCAAACACUGGUCUGCUCCCUAAUGAAUUUUUGAAGCCCCUAACUUACCUAGGAAAGCCUUGACAAACUCAAACACAUAUUUGAUCCAAACACCACCUCUCUGAAACAGUCAUUUAACCGCGUUCUAAGCCACCAAGUGAAAUCCUCUUUUCUCAUAAGAAUUACCCCACAAGAAAAUAAAUUG